RNAcentral lists this ribosomal RNA (486 nucleotides) under uncultured bacterium. RNAcentral describes it as "bacterial SSU rRNA". It matches the Rfam family "Bacterial small subunit ribosomal RNA", at positions 28 to 517 of the family's 1533-position model. The record is from RNAcentral.
GAUGAACGCUAGCGACAGGCUUAACACAUGCAAGUCGAGGGGCAGCAUGAGACGGAGAUUCGUCGAAGUCUUGAUGGCGACCGGCGCAAGGGUGCGUAACGCGUGAGCAACCUGCCUUGUACAGGGGGAUAACAGUUGGAAACGACUGCUAAUACCGCAUAAGAUCGUAGUACCGCAUGGUACAGCGACCAAAACUCCGGUGGUACAAGAGGGGCUCGCGUCCCAUUAGCUAGUUGGUGAGGUAACGGCCCACCAAGGCGACGAUGGGUAGCCGGCUCGAGAGGGUGAACGGCCACAUUGGGACUGAGACACGGCCCAGACUCCUACGGGAGGCAGCAGUGGGGAAUAUUGCACAAUGGAGGAAACUCUGAUGCAGCAACGCCGCGUGAGUGAAGAAGGCUUUCGAGUCGUAAAACUCUGUGAUCGGGGACAAGAUAGAGAUGGUACCCGAAGAGGAAGCUCCGGCUAACUACGUGCCAGCAGCCG